AUGAACGCUGGCGGCAUGCCUUACACAUGCAAGUCGAACGGCAGCGCGUCCUUCGGGAUGGCGGCGAGUGGCGAACGGGUGAGUAAAGCAUCGGAACGUGCCCGGUAGUGCGGGAUAGCUCGGCGAAAGCCGGAUUAAUACCGCAUGAGAUCCGUGGAUGAAAGCAGGGGACCUGAAAGGGCCUUGCGCUACUGGAGCGGCCGAUGUCAGAUUAGGUAGUUGGUGAGGUAAAGGCUCACCAAGCCUGCGAUCUGUAGCUGGUCUGAGAGGAUGAUCAGCCACAUCGGGACUGAGACACGGCCCGAACUCCUACGGGAGGCAGCAGUGGGGAAUUUUGGACAAUGGGCGCAAGCCUGAUCCAGCCAUGCCGCGUGCAGGAUGAAGGCCCUCGGGUUGUAAACUGCUUUUGUACGGAACGAAAAGCCUCUCUCGAAUAAAGAGGGGUGAUGACGGUACCGUAAGAAUAAGCACCGGCUAACUACGUG
This 485-nucleotide ribosomal RNA is filed under the name uncultured bacterium. Its description in RNAcentral is "bacterial SSU rRNA". It matches the Rfam family "Bacterial small subunit ribosomal RNA", at positions 29 to 507 of the family's 1533-position model. The record is from RNAcentral.